This 1318-nucleotide long non-coding RNA is filed under the name Chrysolophus pictus (golden pheasant). RNAcentral describes it as "lncRNA (ENSCPIG00010011446.1)". The record is from RNAcentral. Lineage: Eukaryota; Metazoa; Chordata; Aves; Galliformes; Phasianidae.
CAUGCACAAGAUGAGAAACAGGAAAAAAGCUGAUAUGAAGUACAAAAUAUAUGCAAAUUUAUUUUACAUGUUAAGCCACAGGAAGAAGCAGAGAAACUAAUAGCAAAUACAGAGGUGGGGAAAACUACAGGUGCCAACAAUAACAAAAUACAGAAUUCAUCUUCUACAAUAUCCUCAAAUUGCAAACUCAGAUAAGACAGAAGAUCCUAAAAUGCUUCCAAGGAACUGUCCAUAACUGAAAAUCAGUAAUGCUGACAGACACUGUUAAGUUGGUUUCACUUUCAGAGAUUUUGGGAGAAACUUAUAUUCCACCUGGAUCUUUGGAACAUGUGUGGUGACUUGUGGGCAUUUCUCAGCUUCUGAAGGGGAGACCAGUUAUAGCAAGCCCCAAGCAGAACUAAUAGUCAUGGUUCUAGCAUUGCCUACACUUAAGAUGUUUGACUUCAAAAUUAAAAAUCCUUCUCCUCCUCCAUAGGAAGUUCAUCCUUUCCCCAUCAAACAAAACUGAAACCAUAACAGCCGCAAAGGCAGCCAGGGAAAAGACACCCAAGAAAGCAAAACAAAACAUGUUUGGAUAUGUCAACACUCCAAAAGCUGUAGCAGCAUCACCGCUCAACAGCAACGAAUCAGAACGUAUAGGACAAAGUGAGCCAAACUCUUUGCCAUGUGAUUUGCUCCCGAACAGCAGAGAUGUGCACCAGCAACGUGCCCAUGCAGGACCUGCCUCCCACAGUGUGUGCCACAACUGGGGAGCACUUGAGCCCAGUUCUUACUUCGUAGAGAUCUCCUUGGUGGCAAGACCAGGAUCAGAAGCAACUUUGAAGCUUUCUGACAAGCCAGAUGUAGAACUAACGCCGCGUUGUUUCUGUUGUUGCGGAUACGGAGGUGCCACCCCUGAGCCCGGGGCCGUGCGGGCGGCUGCGGAAAUACGAGAGCUGCGUGACGGCGGGCACGGCGUCCCUGCUGCCUCCGGGGCGGUGGGAAACCUGUGCCGAAAUCUGCUGUUAAGUGCAGAGAAGCAGCCUGGUUCUCCUCCUAUCCACCGUCUACAUCCAGUGCACUUCUUCGGCAGCGGGCACGGAGUGGGAAAGAGCUGGUUGAGAGCCUCGUUUGUCGUUCCGUAGGGCUGACUGAAAGCUUUUGCACUCAGAGCCGUUGUUAGGUGCAGCUCCAGCAGCUGCAGUGUUUUUGUGAAAGCUUUGUGGAAGUUUCUAUUGCAGGCCUUCUCAAUUGCACGUGCUCAUGUUAUGUACUCUUGAUUUUGUAUCGAAAGAGCUUACUUCCUUGCAUUUAAAUAAAUCAUUGUAAAUACAGUGCA